Molecule: ribosomal RNA, 501 nt
Filed under: uncultured bacterium
Lineage: Bacteria
Description: partial 16S ribosomal RNA
Rfam family: Bacterial small subunit ribosomal RNA
Source: RNAcentral
AUUGAACGCUGGCGGCAGGCUUAACACAUGCAAGUCGAGCGGAGCGAGGGUGCUUGCACCUUAGCUUAGCGGCGGACGGGUGAGUAAUGCUUAGGAAUCUGCCUAUUAGUGGGGGUCAACAUUCCGAAAGGAAUGCCAAUACCGCAUACGCCCUACGGGGGAAAGCAGGGGAUCUGCGGACCUUGCGCUAAUAGAGGAGCCUAAGUCGGAUUAGCUAGUUGGUGGGGUAAAGGCCUACCAAGGCGACGAUCUGUAGCGGGUCUGAGAGGAUGAUCCGCCACACUGGGACUGAGACACGGCCCAGACUCCUACGGGAGGCAGCAGUGGGGAAUAUUGGACAAUGGGCGGAAGCCUGAUCCAGCCAUGCCGCGUGUGUGAAGAAGGCCUUUUGGUUGUAAAGCACUUUAAGCGAGGAGGAGGCUACUUAGAUUAAUACUCUGGGAUAGUGGACGUUACUCGCAGAAUAAGCACCGGCUAACUCUGUGCCAGCCGCCGCGGUAA